This 418-nucleotide ribosomal RNA is filed under the name uncultured bacterium. RNAcentral describes it as "bacterial SSU rRNA". It matches the Rfam family "Bacterial small subunit ribosomal RNA", at positions 355 to 776 of the family's 1533-position model. The record is from RNAcentral.
UGGGGAAUAUUGCGCAAUGGGCGAAAGCCUGACGCAGCGACGCCGCGUGGGGGAUGAAGGCCUUCGGGUUGUAAACCUCUUUCGCCCAGGACGAAGGCCCCCUUGCGGGGUUGACGCUACUGGGAGAAGAAGCGCCGGCUAACUACGUGCCAGCAGCCGCGGUAAUACGUAGGGCGCAAGCGUUGUCCGGAAUUAUUGGGCGUAAAGAGCUCGUAGGUGGCGUGUCGCGUCCGCUGUGAAAGCCCGGGGCUUAACUCCGGGUUUGCAGUGGAUACGGGCAUGCUUGAGGUAGGUAGGGGAGACUGGAAUUCCUGGUGUAGCGGUGAAAUGCGCAGAUAUCAGGAGGAACACCGGUGGCGAAGGCGGGUCUCUGGGCCUUACCUGACGCUGAGGAGCGAAAGCAUGGGGAGCGAACAGG